AUGGCAUACAUGUUUCACAAGAUCUCAGGUGUAUUAACUUGGCCAUUACCAAAGACAUGAGUCAUACAUAGCAAUAUACCAAGCAACAACAAUACAAGGAAUCUGUCAUUUUUAGGACUGUUAACAGCAGCUGAGAAAAUAAGUUAUAGCUGGAGUUACACAACUCCAAAAGACAUGAAUUAAGACAUUCUGGAAAGCUUAAGAAAUUAUCUACAUUUGAUAUUUAGACAUAAAAGCAUGAUUCUCAACUUAAGCUGGUAGAAAUUAUAAAGUUCCAGAAUCUGUCCCUGACAAACAGAGAGCAGC
This 306-nucleotide long non-coding RNA is filed under the name Sorghum bicolor (sorghum). RNAcentral describes it as "long non-coding RNA (SBIC_LNC005467)". The record is from RNAcentral. Lineage: Eukaryota; Viridiplantae; Streptophyta; Magnoliopsida; Poales; Poaceae.